CCCUAAUAUAAGGGACAGAAAGAGGGUCACUGCUUGUUCCUUGUAGCUUUAUGCUUGCUGCCUCACUGCCUUCUGCCUGCCGUGAACUGUUUCUCCUCUGCAAUGUCUUCCUGCCAUGCUACUCUGCCUGGAAGCCAGCCAACCAUGGACUGAAACCUCUACAAACUCCUUCAAGAAUUUAGCAGCUCUGCUCCACCUUCCACCAUGACGUUGGCAUUGGAUGCUGUUCAUCAUGGACUGAAACCAGCGGAAUCGUGUUGGAUAUUUUGUCCCAGAAACAGGAAAGCUGAUUAAUACACUCUAUCAUCCCAUUGUGCAUUGCAUGGCUUUGCAAGAAAGAUGUCCCAUGCUAUUUAGCCCUCCGCGGUCAGACACUCCACCCUGUCGCCCUUUACAUAGCAGUCCUGCAAAUGCCAAAUGCCCAGAUCACUGAGAUUUGGCCAAAAUAAA
Long non-coding RNA from Cavia porcellus (domestic guinea pig), 450 nucleotides. RefSeq lists it as uncharacterized. The transcript is spliced from 3 exons. Lineage: Eukaryota; Metazoa; Chordata; Mammalia; Rodentia; Caviidae. The record is from RefSeq and is a predicted model, not a curated record.